This 429-nucleotide ribosomal RNA is filed under the name Gemmatimonadota bacterium. RNAcentral's name for it is "Gemmatimonadetes bacterium partial 16S ribosomal RNA". It matches the Rfam family "Bacterial small subunit ribosomal RNA", at positions 355 to 776 of the family's 1533-position model. The record is from RNAcentral. Lineage: Bacteria; Pseudomonadati; Gemmatimonadota.
UAGGGAAUCUUCGGCAAUGGACGAAAGUCUGACCGAGCAACGCCGCGUGAGUGAAGAAGGUUUUCAGAUCGUAAAACUCUGUUGGUAGAGAAGAACAAGGACGUUAGUAACUGAACGUCCCCUGACGGUAUCUAACCAGAAAGCCACGGCUAACUACGUGCCAGCAGCCGCGGUAAUACGUAGGUGGCAAGCGUUGUCCGGAUUUAUUGGGCGUAAAGCGAGCGCAGGCGGUUUCUUAAGUCUGAUGUGAAAGCCCCCGGCUCAACCGGGGAGGGUCAUUGGAAACUGGGAGACUUGAGUGCAGAAGAGGAGAGUGGAAUUCCAUGUGUAGCGGUGAAAUGCGUAGAUAUAUGGAGGAACACCAGUGGCGAAGGCGGCUCUCUGGUCUGUAACUGACGCUGAGGCUCGAAAGCGUGGGGAGCAAACAGG